Molecule: unclassified non-coding RNA, 354 nt
Filed under: Arabidopsis thaliana (thale cress)
Lineage: Eukaryota; Viridiplantae; Streptophyta; Magnoliopsida; Brassicales; Brassicaceae
Description: partial MIR164a microRNA precursor transcript form 1
Source: RNAcentral
AAGCCCCCACACUAAAAAAACAGUAAUAUGGAAUAAAAAAAAGCUUUCAAAACUUAGCAGUUAUUAGACAAGGUAUUGUUUGGCCCUAGCUAGCGAUCGUUUAGCUCUCUUCACUCUCUCACUUUUUUAGUUCAACCCUUCUUUUGCGUGAGAUGCCAUCAUGGCAUGGUAUGGUUCUUUUGCCUUACGUAAAACACACUCACGCCAGCACACACACACACACACAUAACAUAUACGGAUGUGCGUGUGAGCUAGUCUUCCAUUAAUGCAAUCUUUGGGCCUAUAUAUACAAACCUUUCCAUAACCAAAGUUCUCAUACUACAAACGCCCCUCAUGUGCUUGGAAAUGCGGGUG